UGGGGAAUAUUGGGCAAUGGGCGAAAGCCUGACCCAGCAACGCCGCGUGAAGGAAGAAGGUUUUCGGAUUGUAAACUUCUUUUAUCAGGGACGAAGAAAGUGACGGUACCUGAUGAAUAAGCCACGGCUAACUACGUGCCAGCAGCCGCGGUAAUACGUAGGUGGCAAGCGUUAUCCGGAUUUACUGGGUGUAAAGGGCGCGUAGGCGGGGAUGCAAGUCAGAUGUGAAAUCUAUGGGCUUAACCCAUAAACUGCAUUUGAAACUGUAUCUCUUGAGUGUCGGAGAGGUAGACGGAAUUCCUAGUGUAGCGGUGAAAUGCGUAGAUAUUAGGAGGAACACCAGUGGCGAAGGCGACUUUCUGGACUGUAACUGACGUUGAGGCACGAAAGUG
This 392-nucleotide ribosomal RNA is filed under the name uncultured Oscillospiraceae bacterium. RNAcentral's name for it is "bacterial SSU rRNA". It matches the Rfam family "Bacterial small subunit ribosomal RNA", at positions 355 to 761 of the family's 1533-position model. The record is from RNAcentral. Lineage: Bacteria; Bacillati; Bacillota; Clostridia; Eubacteriales; Oscillospiraceae.